GGCUAAUCUACGUGCCCGGCAGGCCGCGGUUAAUACGUAAGGUGGCCAAGCGUUAUUCCGGAUUUUAUUGGGGCGUAAAAGCGAGGCCCAGGCGGUCUUUUUAAGUUCUAAUGUGAAAAGCCUUCGGCUUCAACCGAAGAAAGUGCAUUGGAAAACUGGGAGACUUGAGUGCAGAAGAGGAACAGUGGAACCUCCAUGUGUAGCGGUGAAAUGCGUAGAUAUAUGGAAGAACACCAGUGGCGAAGGCGGCUGUCUGGUCUGCAACUGACGCUGAGGCUCGAAAGCAUGGGUAGCGAACAGGAUUAGAUACCCUGGUAGUCCAUGCCGUAAACGAUGAUUACUAAGUGUUGGAGGGUUUCCGCCCUUCAGUGCUGCAGCUAACGCAUUAAGUAAUCCGCCUGGGGAGUACGACCGCAAGGUUGAAACUCAAAAGAAUUGACGGGGGCCCGCACAAGCGGUGGAGCAUGUGGUUUAAUUCGAAGCUACGCGAAGAACCUUACCAGGUCUUGACAUCUUCUGACAGUCUAAGAGAUUAGAGGUUCCCUUCGGGGACAGAAUGACAGGUGGUGCAUGGUUGUCGUCAGCUCGUGUCGUGAGAUGUUGGGUUAAGUCCCGCAACGAGCGCAACCCUUAUUACUAGUUGCCAGCAUUAAGUUGGGCACUCUAGUGAGACUGCCGGUGACAAACCGGAGGAAGGUGGGGACGACGUCAAAUCAUCAUGCCCCUUAUGACCUGGGCUACACACGUGCUACAAUGGAUGGUACAACGAGUCGCGAGACCGCGAGGUUAAGCUAAUCUCUUAAAACCAUUCUCAGUUCGGACUGUAGGCUGCAACUCGCCUACACGAAGUCGGAAUCGCUAGUAAUCGCGGAUCAGCAUGCCGCGGUGAAUACGUUCCCGGGCCUUGUACACACCGCCCGUCACACCAUGAGAGUUUGUAACACCCAAAGCCGGUGGGGUAACCUUUAGGAGCUAGCCGUCUAAGGUGACAGAGAAUGCA
RNAcentral lists this ribosomal RNA (1000 nucleotides) under Pediococcus pentosaceus. RNAcentral describes it as "bacterial SSU rRNA". It matches the Rfam family "Bacterial small subunit ribosomal RNA", at positions 495 to 1477 of the family's 1533-position model. Lineage: Bacteria; Bacillati; Bacillota; Bacilli; Lactobacillales; Lactobacillaceae. The record is from RNAcentral.